Anthonomus grandis grandis is the source of this 218-nucleotide small nucleolar RNA. RefSeq annotates it as small nucleolar RNA U3. The transcript has a single exon. Lineage: Eukaryota; Metazoa; Arthropoda; Insecta; Coleoptera; Curculionidae. The record is from RefSeq and is a predicted model, not a curated record.
AAGAUCAUACUUCACAGGAUCAUUUCUGUAGUAGAUCUUCGCAUACUCUCUACUCAAAAGUAGAGUUGUCGCAACCAUGAGGAUGAGACACAGUCUCGAUUCCUGAGCGUGAGAUACGAUCUCGAUUUGCCACUUUGUGGGUGAAUCGGUGAUCCACGAUGAUCGUUCAACCCGUUAGUUUUACUAGUGGUGUAUGGAAUUGAGGCAGUCUGAGUGGU